RNAcentral lists this ribosomal RNA (1372 nucleotides) under uncultured bacterium. RNAcentral describes it as "bacterial SSU rRNA". It matches the Rfam family "Bacterial small subunit ribosomal RNA", at positions 28 to 1381 of the family's 1533-position model. The record is from RNAcentral.
GAUGAACGCUGGCGGCGUGCCUAAUACAUGCAAGUCGAGCGAACGGACGAGAAGCUUGCUUCUCUGAUGUUAGCGGCGGACGGGUGAGUAACACGUGGAUAACCUACCUAUAAGACUGGGAUAACUUCGGGAAACCGGAGCUAAUACCGGAUAAUAUUUUGAACCGCAUGGUUCAAAAGUGAAAGACGGUCUUGCUGUCACUUAUAGAUGGAUCCGCGCUGCAUUAGCUAGUUGGUAAGGUAACGGCUUACCAAGGCAACGAUGCAUAGCCGACCUGAGAGGGUGAUCGGCCACACUGGAACUGAGACACGGUCCAGACUCCUACGGGAGGCAGCAGUAGGGAAUCUUCCGCAAUGGGCGAAAGCCUGACGGAGCAACGCCGCGUGAGUGAUGAAGGUCUUCGGAUCGUAAAACUCUGUUAUUAGGGAAGAACAUAUGUGUAAGUAACUGUGCACAUCUUGACGGUACCUAAUCAGAAAGCCACGGCUAACUACGUGCCAGCAGCCGCGGUAAUACGUAGGUGGCAAGCGUUAUCCGGAAUUAUUGGGCGUAAAGCGCGCGUAGGCGGUUUUUUAAGUCUGAUGUGAAAGCCCACGGCUCAACCGUGGAGGGUCAUUGGAACCUGGAAAACUUGAGUGCAGAAGAGGAGAGUGGAAUUCCAUGUGUAGCGGUGAAAUGCGCAGAGAUAUGGAGGAACACCAGUGGCGAAGGCGACUUUCUGGUCUGUAACUGACGCUGAUGUGCGAAAGCGUGGGGAUCAAACAGGAUUAGAUACCCUGGUAGUCCACGCCGUAAACGAUGAGUGCUAAGUGUUAGGGGGUUUCCGCCCCUUAGUGCUGCAGCUAACGCAUUAAGCACUCCGCCUGGGGAGUACGACCGCAAGGUUGAAACUCAAAGGAAUUGACGGGGACCCGCACAAGCGGUGGAGCAUGUGGUUUAAUUCGAAGCAACGCGAAGAACCUUACCAAAUCUUGACAUCCUUUGACAACUCUAGAGAUAGAGCCUUCCCCUUCGGGGGACAAAGUGACAGGUGGUGCAUGGUUGUCGUCAGCUCGUGUCGUGAGAUGUUGGGUUAAGUCCCGCAACGAGCGCAACCCUUAAGCUUAGUUGCCAUCAUUAAGUUGGGCACUCUAAGUUGACUGCCGGUGACAAACCGGAGGAAGGUGGGGAUGACGUCAAAUCAUCAUGCCCCUUAUGAUUUGGGCUACACACGUGCUACAAUGGACAAUACAAAGGGCAGCGAAACCGCGAGGUCAAGCAAAUCCCAUAAAGUUGUUCUCAGUUCGGAUUGUAGUCUGCAACUCGACUACAUGAAGCUGGAAUCGCUAGUAAUCGUAGAUCAGCAUGCUACGGUGAAUACGUUCCCGGGUCU